This 253-nucleotide ribosomal RNA is filed under the name uncultured bacterium. RNAcentral's name for it is "partial 16S ribosomal RNA". It matches the Rfam family "Bacterial small subunit ribosomal RNA", at positions 524 to 776 of the family's 1533-position model. The record is from RNAcentral.
UACGUAGGGUGCGAGCGUUAAUCGGAAUUACUGGGCGUAAAGUGUGCGCAGGCGGCAGAGCAAGUCGAGUGUGAAAGCCCCGGGCUUAACUUGGGAAUUGCGCUCGAAACUACUUUGCUGGAGUGUGGCAGAGGAAGGUGGAAUUCCACGUGUAGCGGUGAAAUGCGUAGUGAUGUGGAGGAACACCAAUGGCGAAGGCAGCCUUCUGGGCCAACACUGACGCUCAUGCACGAAAGCGUGGGGAGCAAACAGG